UUGACCUCAAAUCAGGUAGGACUACCCGCUGAACUUAAGCAUAUCAAUAAGCGGAGGAAAAGAAACUAACAAGGAUUCCCCUAGUAACUGCGAGUGAAGCGGGAAAAGCUCAAAUUUGAAAUCUGGCAGCUCUUUGAACUGUCCGAGUUGUAAUCUAGAGAAGUGUUACCUGUGUUGGAYCGUGUACAAGUCUCCUGGAAUGGAGCGUCACAGAGGGUGAGAAUCCCGUCUUUGACACGGACUGCCUGCACGUUAUGGUGCGCUCUCAAAGAGUCGAGUUGUUUGGGAAUGCAGCUCAAAAUGGGUGGUAAAUGCCAUCUAAAGCUAAAUAUUGGCGAGAGACCGAUAGCGAACAAGUACCGUGAGGGAAAGAUGAAAAGAACUUUGGAAAGAGAGUUAAACAGUACGUGAAAUUGCUGAAAGGGAAACGCUUGAAGUCAGUCGCGUCGGCUAGAAAUCAACCUUGCUUUUGCUUGGUGUACUUUCUUGUUGACGGGUCAGCAUCAAUUUUGACCGUCGGAUAAAGUCAUUGGGAAUGUGGCAUCUUAGGAUGUGUUAUAGCCCAUUGUCGCAUACGACGGUUGGGAUUGAGGAACUCAGCACGCCCGCAAGGGACGGGUUUUUUGACCACGUUCGUGCUUAGGAUGCUGGCAUAAUGGCUUUAAUCGACCCGU
Molecule: ribosomal RNA, 674 nt
Filed under: Inocybe pudica
Lineage: Eukaryota; Fungi; Basidiomycota; Agaricomycetes; Agaricales; Inocybaceae
Description: eukaryotic LSU rRNA
Rfam family: Eukaryotic large subunit ribosomal RNA
Source: RNAcentral